RNAcentral lists this long non-coding RNA (750 nucleotides) under Physcomitrium patens. RNAcentral's name for it is "long non-coding RNA (PPAT_LNC007096)". The record is from RNAcentral. Lineage: Eukaryota; Viridiplantae; Streptophyta; Bryopsida; Funariales; Funariaceae.
AAAUAAGCUUCAAUCAAAUUCAAAAAAAUCUCAAGAAAUUUCAAAGAAAUAAUAAGAAUUCUUAAAGAAAUAUUAGAAGAAUCACAAAUAUCACUCAAAUACAACUCAAUUCAAUCUUAAUUUAAUUCUAGUUAAAAUCCUAUUGAACUUCAUUCAAACUUUAGGCCAAAUCUAAUUAAAUCUUAAAUCCUAAUAAAAUCUUAAAUCCUAAAUCAAAUCCUAAACAAACCUUAAAUCAAAUCUCAACCAAAUCCUAAAUCAAAUCCUAAAUCCUAAAUCAAACCCUAACCAAAUCCUAAUCCAAAUUCUAAACCUUAAACCAAAUUCUAAUCCAAAUCCUAAAUUAAAUCCUAACCAAACCCUAAAUCGAACCCUAAACAAACCUUAAACCAAAUCUCAACCAAAUCCUAAACCAAACCCUAAAUCCUAAAUCAAAUCCUAACCAAAUCCUAAUCCAAAUCCUAAACCUUAAACCAAAUUCUAAUCCAAAUCCUAAAUUAAAUCCUAACCAAACCCUAAAUCGAACCCUAAACAAACUUUAAACCAAAUCUCAACCAAAUCCUAAAUCAAACCCUAAUCAAACCUUAACCAAAUUCUAAACCAAAUUCUAAACCAAACCCUAAAUCUUGAAUCAAACCCUAACCAAAUCCUAAUCCAAAUCCUAAACCCUAAAGCAAAUCCUAAUCCAAACCCUAAACCAAAUCUUAAUACAAAUCCUAAAUCCUAAACCAAAUCCUAACCAAAUCUUAA